AGUUACGUGACGCUGAGGCGGGAAAGCGUGGGGAGCAAACCGGAUUAGAUACCCGGGUAGUCCACGCCCUAAACGAUGAGUGCUGGGUGUCCGGCGUUUGCCGGGUGCCGAAGCUAACGCGUUAAGCACUCCGCCUGGGAAGUACGGUCGCAGGACUGAAACUCAAAGGAAUUGACGGGGGCCCGCACAAGCGGUGGAGCAUGUGGUUUAAUUCGAAGGAACGCGAAGAACCUUACCAGGCCUUGACAUCCUAGGAACCCUGAUGAAAGUCGGGGGUGCCCGCAAGGGAACCUAGAGACAGGUGCUGCAUGGCUGUCGUCAGCUCGUGUCGUGAGAUGUUGGGUUAAGUCCCGCAACGAGCGCAACCCUUGUCCUUAGUUGCUAACGGGUAAGCCGAGCUCUCUAGGGAGACUGCCCGCGAAAGCGGGAGGAAGGCGGGGAUGACGUCUAGCCCGCAUGGCCCUUACGGCCUGGGCGACACACGUGCUACAAUGCCCGGCACAGAGCGCUGCCACAUCGCAAGAUGGAGCUAAUCGCCUAAAUCCGGGCUCAGUUCGGAUUGGGGUCUGCAACCCGACCCCAUGAAGCUGGAAUCGCUAGUAAUCGCGGAUCAGCCAUGCCGCGGUGAAUACGUUCCCGGGCCUUGUACACACCGCCCGUCACGCCAUGGGAGUGGGUUUCACCUGAAGUCGCUGGGAGCCACAGGCAGGCGCCGAGGGUGGGGCUCAU
This 729-nucleotide ribosomal RNA is filed under the name uncultured organism. RNAcentral describes it as "SSU rRNA". It matches the Rfam family "Bacterial small subunit ribosomal RNA", at positions 734 to 1472 of the family's 1533-position model. The record is from RNAcentral.